GAGUGUGCGGAUUCUAGAGUGUAAAAAGAUAAAAAGCGUGAUUAAUGACAGAGGAGAGGAGGAUUUACAAAGCUCUUGGAAGUAUUUGCUUAGAUGAAUUUUGUACCAGCCCCUAGCAGCAGCGCAUUAUGGCUUCAUAGGCCCUCGGGCAAAUCUGAAUUUGGGGGUCCCAUGUAUAAUAUUGAAAUUUUUUCAACAUUAUACAUGGUGAUCUCUGGCAGUGGUGUGGAACACGCGAAGCGAAACACAGAUGGUAGCGAGGCAAAUGGAAAUGCGCAUGUGCAGAAUACAGCAUGGAAAUGAAAUUUCCUCGUAUAAAUAAGAAAACAGAUUAACAAUUUAUUAAAAUAUAAUUGAAUUUUUGCCGAAAUGACGGAUUUUGCCACACAGGAACAACUCAAAGAAGUUAUUUCUCUAGUUAUUUUACUGUUAGG
This 434-nucleotide long non-coding RNA is filed under the name Androctonus crassicauda. The record is from RNAcentral. Lineage: Eukaryota; Metazoa; Arthropoda; Arachnida; Scorpiones; Buthidae.